RNAcentral lists this ribosomal RNA (348 nucleotides) under Triticum aestivum (bread wheat). Its description in RNAcentral is "partial small subunit ribosomal RNA". The record is from RNAcentral. Lineage: Eukaryota; Viridiplantae; Streptophyta; Magnoliopsida; Poales; Poaceae.
AUGUUAGGUGUGGCGGAGAUGCGUAUGUUGAGAUGGAUGUGUGGCCACACGAGGAAGGAUCGAGUCCGGAAUGAUGAUAUACGAGAUAGAGUUGGGAUAGCACCAAUUGAGGAGAAGCUUGUCCAACAUCGUUUGAGAUGGUUUGGGCAUAUUCAGCGCAGGCCUCCAGAAGCUCCAGUGCAUAGCGGACGGCUAAAGCGUGCGGAGAAUGUCAAGAGAGGGCGGGGUCGACCGAUUUUGACAUGGGAGGAGUCCGUUAAGAGAGACCUGAAGGAUUGGAGUAUCGACAAAGAGCUAGCUAUGGACAGGGGUGCGUGGAAGCUUGCUAUCCAUGUGCCAGAGCCAUGA